UACGUAGGGGGCAAGCGUUGUCCGGAUUCAUUGGGCGUAAAGAGCGUGUAGGCGGCCAGGUAGGUCGGUUGUGAAAACUGGAGGCUCAACCUUCAGAGGUCGACCGAAACCAUCUGGCUAGAGUCCGGGAGAGGAGAGUGGAAUUCCUGGUGUAGCGGUGAAAUGCGCAAAUAUCAGGAAGAACACCCGUGGCGAAAGCGGCUCUCUGGAACGGUACUGACGCUGAGACGCGAAAGCGUGGGGAGCGAACAGG
This 253-nucleotide ribosomal RNA is filed under the name uncultured bacterium. RNAcentral describes it as "partial 16S ribosomal RNA". It matches the Rfam family "Bacterial small subunit ribosomal RNA", at positions 524 to 776 of the family's 1533-position model. The record is from RNAcentral.